This 254-nucleotide ribosomal RNA is filed under the name uncultured bacterium. Its description in RNAcentral is "partial 16S ribosomal RNA". It matches the Rfam family "Bacterial small subunit ribosomal RNA", at positions 524 to 776 of the family's 1533-position model. The record is from RNAcentral.
CACGUAGGGUGCAAGCGUUGUCCGGAUUCAUUGGGCGUAAAGGGCUAGUAGGCGGCUUAGCAAGUCGGGUGUGAAAUUUCCAGGCUUAACCUGGAACCGCCAUCCGAGACUGCUAUGGCUAGAGUCCGGUAGGGGACCACGGAAUUCCUGGUGUAGCGGUGAAAUGCGCAGAUAUCAGGAGGAACACCGAUGGCGAAGGCAGUGGUCUGGGCCGGCACUGACGCUGAAUAGCGAAAGCGUGGGUAGCGAACAGG